UGGACGGAUGAUGUUGACUGAUGGCCUAUGAGUCAUGGAUGUUGAAAACCACGUGUCUGAAUCUCUGAGGGCCAA
RNAcentral lists this small nucleolar RNA (75 nucleotides) under Catagonus wagneri (Chacoan peccary). Its description in RNAcentral is "Small nucleolar RNA SNORD113/SNORD114 family (ENSCWAG00000005102.1)". It matches the Rfam family "Small nucleolar RNA SNORD113/SNORD114 family". From Rfam's summary of the family: The imprinted human domain at 14q32 contains two clusters of tandemly repeated small nucleolar RNAs named 14q(I) and 14q(II) snoRNAs. These two clusters are named SNORD113 and SNORD114 respectively in the HGNC approved gene symbol nomenclature. Lineage: Eukaryota; Metazoa; Chordata; Mammalia; Artiodactyla; Tayassuidae. The record is from Rfam by way of RNAcentral.